UAGGGAAUCUUCGGCAAUGGGGGGAACCCUGACCGAGCAACGCCGCGUGAGUGAAGAAGGUUUUCGGAUCGUAAAGCUCUGUUGUAAGAGGAGAACGCGUGUGAGAGUGGAAAGUUCACACAGUGACGGUAUCUUACCAGAAAGGGACGGCUAACUACGUGCCAGCAGCCGCGGUAAUACGUAGGUCCCGAGCGUUGUCCGGAUUUAUUGGGCGUAAAGCGAGCGCAGGCGGUUAGAUAAGUCUGAAGUUAAAGGCAGUGGCUCAACCAUUGUAGGCUUUGGAAACUGUUUAACUUGAGUGCAGAAGGGGAGAGUGGAAUUCCAUGUGUAGCGGUGAAAUGCGUAGAUAUAUGGAGGAACACCGGUGGCGAAAGCGGCUCUCUGGUCUGUAACUGACGCUGAGGCUCGAAAGCGUGGGGAGCGAACAGGAUUAGAUACCCUGGUAGUCCACGCCGUAAACGAUGAGUGCUAGGUAUUAGGUCCUUUCCGGGACUUAGUGCCGCAGCUAACGCAUUAAGCACUCCGCCUGGGGAGUACGACCGCAAGGUUG
This 550-nucleotide ribosomal RNA is filed under the name uncultured bacterium. RNAcentral describes it as "bacterial SSU rRNA". It matches the Rfam family "Bacterial small subunit ribosomal RNA", at positions 355 to 896 of the family's 1533-position model. The record is from RNAcentral.